Sphaeramia orbicularis (orbiculate cardinalfish) is the source of this 1208-nucleotide long non-coding RNA. RefSeq lists it as uncharacterized. Lineage: Eukaryota; Metazoa; Chordata; Actinopteri; Kurtiformes; Apogonidae. The transcript has 2 exons. The record is from RefSeq and is a predicted model, not a curated record.
GGGUAAUAAAUGAUGAUAAAUCACUUAAGAAAGGUUAAAAAGAGAGAAAAAAUUCAUUUGGGAAGUGACACAAAAGUAGCACUGGAUCUUUAUGGGUUAAGGAAGUUCCAUGUUUAAGUCAUUGUUUUAGUUUUCAUACUACGAGCACAGCUUCUCUUCAAAAAAAAAAAAAAAAAAUGCUGGGAGGCUGAUGUAAGAUAAGAAAAGAUAUGACUUUAUUUACCCCACUGUGGGGAAAUUUCACAGCUAACAUAUGUAGCAACAUACAAACUAGCAAGUGCAGAGAAAAAGACAAACAACAAAUGAGUGAAAAAUGGAAUAUAAAGAGAAAAAUAAGAAAUCUGGUGUUUAUAUAAAUAUGUAUAUAAAUUUAGAAUUAAAAUUAAAUCUUUACGUAUUUUACAUGGAAAUGUACAAGUUCUCGGCACUAAUACUGUGUAGUUACAUUAAGAGACUGGAGUAUCAACAAUUAAACCAAUGCAGAUGACAUUCAGAAUCAGUUACAUGAGUUACAAUGUGGUCUAAAUCAUACAAAAAUGCAAACCAGGGCACACCUCACACAUAACAUGUUAUAGCAGCAACAAGUAGAUUUACAAGUAUCAAACACUCAAUCUGUAAAGUUCACAUUUAAAACGGUCCAAGUAGUGAAACUACCAACCAACUUUCACAAAUCGUGUUUAUUCUCUUUAACGUUUUUUUAUGUUCUGUAUUUAUAGUUCCUCGUCUUCUCUUUUGUUUUGUUUAUUCUGUGUUAAAAAUACCAAAUAGUUUGUCCCACUAUGACCCAAAAUGGACACUCGGUCCCAAACAUCCACCAUGCUGAAUACCAAAUGCUUUUUCCACCCAUAAUCCCUCAUCGUGUUGGUGUCUGUUGGUUUAACUUGGAGCACACUGUGGCAGGACACUUAUUUCAGAGAAUGGAAGCAGUAUUAUGACUUUAUGUACAGUAUCGAACAGUCAUCUUCCUCGGGUUUUUGCAGAAUGUAUUUUUGUUUUUGAUUUGCAGUCCCUGUACUUGUGAAGCUUUGUCUGUACAUUUUGUCACCUGACUGUUUUUUUUUUUGUUCUUUUAUGGAUUGUUUUAUGCCCUUAUUUGUAUUUAUGUUAUUUGUUUUUUUCUUUUGCGCUGCGUGCCAAACGUACUGUAUUUUAAAAGGAUGUGAAGGUGUCAUUUUUGAAACCAAUUAAAUAUCAUGAUGUCAGAAAGA